This 503-nucleotide ribosomal RNA is filed under the name Salmonella enterica subsp. enterica serovar Typhimurium. RNAcentral's name for it is "partial 23S ribosomal RNA". It matches the Rfam family "Bacterial large subunit ribosomal RNA", at positions 109 to 652 of the family's 2925-position model. The record is from RNAcentral. Lineage: Bacteria; Pseudomonadati; Pseudomonadota; Gammaproteobacteria; Enterobacterales; Enterobacteriaceae.
GAUACCCGAAUGGGGAAACCCAGUGUGAUUCGUCACACUAUCAUUAACUGAAUCCAUAGGUUAAUGAGGCGAACCGGGGGAACUGAAACAUCUAAGUACCCCGAGGAAAAGAAAUCAACCGAGAUUCCCCCAGUAGCGGCGAGCGAACGGGGAGGAGCCCAGAGCCUGAAUCAGCAUGUGUGUUAGUGGAAGCGUCUGGAAAGGCGCGCGAUACAGGGUGACAGCCCCGUACACAAAAGCGCAUGUGCUGUGAGCUCGAUGAGUAGGGCGGGACACGUGGUAUCCUGUCUGAAUAUGGGGGGACCAUCCUCCAAGGCUAAAUACUCCUGACUGACCGAUAGUGAACCAGUACCGUGAGGGAAAGGCGAAAAGAACCCCGGCGAGGGGAGUGAAAAAGAACCUGAAACCGUGUACGUACAAGCAGUGGGAGCACCCUUCGGGGUGUGACUGCGUACCUUUUGUAUAAUGGGUCAGCGACUUAUAUUCUGUAGCAAGGUUAACCG